GCACGGCACCCACCUCGGGGCAGCGGCUUCACCUCCCCGUUCUCCUCCCGGGAGGCCCCGCCGGCCUCUCGGGCCCCACCGAGACCGUGCCUCCUCCUCUCCUUCUCCCGCUUCUCCUUAGGUCUGCGCGACUUGGCGUUAGCCGAGGCAGCGGCGGCGGCGGCGGGCAGGAGGAGAUGCAAGCUGGAUUUCGGGAAUGCUCAGUUCAGAAGAGAAAAAAUUGCCGGGAAUCAAGUCCUUCUUUUUGUUAGUCGGUAGUCGAUUGAUGGGAAGUGUUCAAAAUCAUUCGAUGUGGUGACAAGGCUUCACCAGGUACUGCCUUCUAACGAGCUGGCCAUUUCCACAUGUCAGAUAGGACCAACUUGCCUUUUAACUACCCGUGUGAUACUUAAACACUGUUGCCGGUAUCACAGCUUUUCUUCAAAACAGGAAGCAACGAGAAUGAGGGCAUUCCAGUAGCAGGAGACAGCAUGCAUAGAGAUGCUGAUGAAGAAAGAGCCUAGCGCACGUGGGAAACUGCAAAAGUUCAGACUGGUUGGAAUGCUGGAAAUGUUGUGAAUGACAGGAGAUGAGGCUGGCGAGAAAACAGAGGUCAGAUUGUGGAAGGCUGUCAAGCCAAAGACUUUGAUUUUAUUCUUGAGAUUGAUGAGAUGUGUGUAAUCCAGGAGUGUGCAAAACAAUCUGUAAGGGUUCAGAAAACAUACUGCUUCUAUAUAUAGUUACCUUUGUCUUAACUUGAAAAUUUCAAAUUGUGUAGGAGUUACAAUGUGUGUAAUUGUUAUUAUAGUACUGGAUCCAAAUAAUUUAUAAAUAAAUAAAUAUAGACAUAAUAUGGUGUAUUACAGGUUAAAUUGUGUACCUCAAAAAUUCAUGUUUAAGUUCUAACCCUCAUUAUCUCAAACUGUGACCUUAUUUGGAAAUACUAUCAUUGCAGAUGCAAUAGUUAAUGAGGUCAAGUUAAGAAGCAAUAGGAGGCCAGGCAUGGUGGCUCACACCUGUAAUCGCAGCACUCUGGGGAGGCCAAGGUGGGUGGAUCACCUGAAGUCAGGAGAUCAAGAGCAACCUGGGCAACAUGGUGAAACUCCGUCUCUACUAAAAAUACACAAAUUAGGCUGGGCUUGAUGUCUCACACCUGUAAUCCCAGCACUUUGGGAGGCCAAGGCGGGCGGAUCACCUGAGGUCAGGAGUUCGAGACCAGCCUGGCCAACAUAGUGAAACCCCAUCUCUACUAAAAAUACAAAAAUUAUUUUGUAUUUUGGUGGCGGACACCUGUAAGUAAUCCCAGCUACUCGGGAGGGUGAGGCAGGAGAAUCGCUUAAACCUGGGAGGUGGAGUUUGCAGUGAACCAAGAUCACACCACUGCACUCCAGCUUAGGAGACAGGGCUAGACUCUGUCUCAAACAAACAAGCAAACAAACAAAAGAAAGAAGAAAAGAAGGAGCGAAAAGGUGGGCCCCCAAUCCCUAAUCCAGUAUGACUAAUGUCCUUCCAAGAACAGAAAAUUUGAACAGAGACACACAAACGGGAAGAAUACCUAUGCCUUUUGAAGGUAAAGGCGGACAUUGGGGUAAUGCUUUUACAAGCCAAGGAACUCCGAAGGUAGCCAGCAAACUGUCAGAAGCUAGGCGAGGGUCCUGGGACAGAUUCUCCUCACAGCCCUCAGAAGGAAUCAGUCCCGCUGACACCUUGAUCUUGGACUUGUAGCCUCAGGAACUGUGAGGCAAAUGUCUGUUGUUUAAACUAUCCAGUUUGUGAUACUUUGUUACAGCAGCCCUAGCAAAUUGAGCUACUUGGUCAAAAACUUCAGGCAACACUGAUGAGAUGAUGUAAAGGCUUUAAAGAGUUGGUUUAUGUUUAAGAGUCCAAAUUAUCAACGUCCUAUCUUUACUCAGUCUCUGUAUUCAAGAAUUGACCUUAGGCCAGGUGCAGUAGUUCACGCCUGUAAUCCCAAUACUUUGGGAUGCCAAGGUAGGAGGAUUGCUUGAGGUCAGGAGUUUGAGAUCAGCCCUUGUAUAUUAGUUCGUUCUCAUGCUGCUGAUAAAGACAUACCCAAGACUGGGUAAUUUAUAAGGAAAAAGAGGUUUAAUGGACUCACGGUUCCAUGUGGCUGGAGAGGCCUCAAUCAUGGCGGAAGGUGAAAGGCAUGUCUUAGGUGGCGGCAGACAAAAGAGAAAUGAGAGCCAAGUGAGAAGGGAAACCCCUUAUAAAAUCAUCAGAUCUCGUGAGACUUAUUCACUACCAUGAGAACAGUAUGGGGAAAGCGUCCCCAUGAUUCAGUUCCCACCGGGUCCCUCCCACCACAUGUGGGAGUUCUGGGAGCUACAAUUGAAGAUGAGAUUUGAGUGGGGACAAAGCCAAACCAUAUCACCUUUUCUCUACUAAAAAUUAAAAUUAAUUAAAAAAUUAAGCUGGCAUGGUACUAUAUGUCUGUAGUCCUAGCUACUUGGGAUGCCGAGGUGGGAGGAUUGCUUGAGCCCACGAGGUUGAGGCUGCAGUGAGUCAUGAUCAUGCCACUGCACUCCAGCCUGGACAACAGAGCAAGGCCCUGAUGCAAAAAACAAAAAAUAAUAAUUUAACUUAAAGUGAUGUCUUGAUUGCAGUGUUUAUUCUACUUUUUAAAGCCAUUGUGGUGGGAAAACAAUUUGUUUACAUUUGUAGUACAGUUUAUGUUAAAGGUUGAAGAAAUUGGGAAAUAUUUUAUCUUUAACUCAAGACAGGAUGGUGAUAUGCAACAGUUAUAGGCAAAAAAUAUUUACAUUUAAGAAAAAAAGUAUCAUUUAAUCCCAUUAGGCAGAAGUGGAGUCAAAAGCAAAAAUAUGGCUGGUUAUGGAUGUAUGUUUCCCUUCCUGUUCAUAUGUUGAAACCUAAUUCCCAAUGUGAUGGGUUUUGGAGAUGGGGUCUUUGGGAGGUAAUAGGUCAUGAGAGUGGAACCCUCGUGGAUGGGAUUAGUGCCAUAUAAGAAGAGUCCAUAGAGCUAGCUCACUCCCUUUCUGCCAUGUGAGGAUACAAGAAGUCGGCCUGGAAAAGAGCCCUCACCAGAACCCUACAAUGGCACUCUGAUCUUGGACAUUCGGCCUCCGGAGCUGUGAGAAAUAAAUUGUCUUUAAGCUAUCCAGUUUAUGGUACUUUAUUACACCAGCCCAAACUGACUGAAGAUGGGGUCCUACCAAGCGAAAUCAUAGCUGUGAACAGUGUAAUAGUAUCUCAUCAGCAUGGGGAGGGCUAUAGGCAAAACAUGCACUAGUCUAGCUACUUAAUCUUCAAGUAUUAAGGACAACCUGUCCUUUUUAUACAAGUCAUACAUUAGACAUGUGCCUGAGAUUACAAAACACUGUGAUCGAGUUUUCAAGGCUAGGGAUACACCUCAAACUCAGAUGUACUUCUUUGGUGCCUAUUUGUAAGUCAGCAAAAUCCAGAACUCAGCAAUAUGUUAAUUAAUGUAUUAAUACAGAAAAUAUUUUUGUGCAUUAUAUUUUCUGCAUUUUAGAUAUUUGUGUGCCAUGGAAUAUUUGAUGAUUUUUGGCUUUAUUUAGGUUAAGUCAACCAAAGCAUUUUGAAAUGCUGCUUUUUUUUUAACACAUGUAUUUGUGGGUUUUUGUUUUGUUAUUGUUGUUGUUUGAGACAGGGUCUUAACUCUGUCAUGCAGGCUGAAGUGCAGUGUCACAAUCACGGCUCACCGCAGCCUCAACCUCCCGGGCUCGGGUGAUCCUCCCACGUCAGCCUCCUUAGCAGCUGGGAUUACAGGUGCCCACCACCACGCCCGUCUCCUUUUUGUAUUUUUAGUAGAGACGGAGUCUCACCAUGUUGCCCAGGCUGGUCUCAAACUCCUGGGCUCAAGUGAUCUGCCCUCCUCAACUUCCCAAAGUGCUAGGAUUACAGGUGUGAGCCACCACACCUGGCCUAAAUCCACAUGUAUUUGUAAUAGUUUUGCCAUUGUUUAGACAGGUAGUUUUAAGAUUUUUUAAAGUAAUAGAAGCCUUUCUUCAAAUUAAAUCUUAUGUGGAAGUCCAGUAUGCAGCAAUUAUGUUAGGUAGUCAUAGAGGACUGGCCAUUCGUAAAAAAAAAUAUACCCUUGUUUUAAAUCUUUGUUUCUUGAAUUUAGUCUUGAAGUUCCAUGUUUUAUGACUAUGUAUUCCAUGUUUAUUUUAUAGUGUGUUAGCAAAAUGAAAGGAAUGUACAUGGAUGGGGAUGAUAAAGAUGCUACUGACCUAUUAUUAUAGGGCCUGUGCUUGGAGUUGCUUUUCAGUAAUGGGAUUGGAUUUGUAAGAAUCUGUCCAUCAGGCUGGGUGCAGUGGCUGACGCCAGUAAUCCCAGCACUUUGGGAGGCCGAGGCUCAAGUAGCUCAAUUUGCUCAAAAAAAAAAAAAAAAAAAAAGAAUCCAUCUAUCGUCUGGCCGGGCACGAUGGCUCACGCCUGUAAUCCCAGCACUUUGGGAGACUGAGGCGGGCGGAUCACGAGGUCAAGAGAUCGAGACCAUCCUGGCCAACAUGGUCAAACCCCGUGUCUACUAAAAAUACAAAAAUUAGAUGGGCGUGGUGGUGGGCGCCUGUAAUCCAUCCCAGCUACUCAGGAGGCUGAGGCAGGAGAAUCACUUGAACCCGGGAGGCGGACCACUGCACUCCAGCAGAGUGAGACUCCCUCCCAAAAAAAAAGAAUCCAUCUAUCCUCUUUAAUUUAGUCCCCUUUGUGGCCACACAGCAGUCUGUGUCCUACACCCUCUUGGUCAAGAAUAUAAUGUCUACUACUCACAAAAAUAUAUUUCUCAGUAAGUGACUCCCCUUCCUCUCAUCAUUGUUCUUUUAGCAAUUUUUGUGCACUAUUCAUUUAACUAUAACUUUGCCACCUUUGGACUCUAAUAGACUCAAAAACCUGUUUGUCCAGUUUAGUGUAUGUUUGUUUUAUUCCCUCACCCAUGACUUCCAGUCAUAUUACUGUAAGCUGAUAUUUGGAACUACAUAUAUCUUUUGUAUGUUUAUUUUUUUAAUUUUUUUUGCAAGUUUCAGGAUCUAUAUUUUGUUGUUUGUUUGUUUGUUUGUUUGUUUUUGAGACAGAGUCUCAUUCUGUCACCCAGGUUGGAGUGCAGUGACACGAUCUCAGCUCACUGCAACCUCCGCCUCCUAGGUUCAAGCGAUUCUCCUGCCUCAGUCUCCCGAGUAGCUGGGAUUACAGGCACCCGCCACCACACCUGGCUAAUUUUUGUAUUUUUAGCGGAGAUAGGGUUUCACAUGUUGGCCACACUAGUCCCAAACUCCUGACUUCAGGUGAUCUACCUGCCUUGGCCUCCCAAAGCGCUGGGAUUACAGGCGUGAGCCACCGCGCCCAGCCUGUAUAUGUUUAAAUUGUCAUAAAAACUAACACCCUUUGGGAGGCCGAGGCAGGCAGAUCAUGAGGUCAGGAGAUCGAGACCAUCCUGGCUAACACAGUGAAACCCCAUCUCUACUAAAAAUAUUUUUUUAAAAAUUAGCCAGGCUUGGUGGCGGGCGCCUGUAGUCCCAACCCAGGAGGCUGAGGCAGGAGAAUGGCAUGAACCCAGGAGGCAGAGCUGGCAGUGAGCCAAUAUCACGCCACUGCACUCCAGCCUGGACGACAGAGAGAGACUCCAUCUCAAAAAAAAAAAAAAAAAAAGAAAAAAGAAAACCAACACCAUGUGGGGAUGUUGGGAAUAGCAGUUGAAUGUUUCAGAAUUAGGUUUUUUGUAUUUGUGGUAUUCUCAGAUGGCCCAUUUUUCCAAGAUCACGUUAUGUCAUGUGGCUAGUUUGACAGCCCAUAAGCCAUAGUUCAGGGACAUUUUUACCUUUUUCUAAAGGGUAUAUAUAAAAAGAUAUAAAGAACAAACUAUUCAGAUAGUUUGGUAUCAGUGAAUCAUUUCAAUAAAAAUAUACUCUGAGUCUUCCUUCUUUCAGCAAAUGUUUACUGAGCUCCUACUAUAUGCUAGCAGUCAUUAUGCUAAGUUUUAAGUAUACAGCAGCAAACUAACUGAACAUAAUCCAGGCCUCACGGGAUAGAGAAAUUACACCAAAAAAUUAUAUGCAUAAUACAUUCAUACAUGUAUAAAAUCUUCAUACCAAUUACAAAGGAAAUCAACAGGGCUCUACAGAGAGUUAAAGAAGCUACUCUAAAAAGAACAGAAAAGGAAUGAGAAGUGAAAGGAAUUCCAGCAUUCUAGCUGGGUGCCGUGGCAUGCACCUGUAGCCCCAGCUACUCAGGAGGCUGAGGCAGGAGGACCCCACGAUCCCAGGAGUUCAAGUCUAGCCUAGGCAACAUAGCGAGACUCUCAUCUCAAAAAAAAAAGAAAAAGAAAAAAACUGUGUUAUAGGCUGGGCACAGUGGUUCGCGCCUGUAAUCCCAGCACUUUGGGAGGCUGAGGCGGGUGGAUCACGAGGUCAGGAUUUCAGGACCAGCCUGGCCAAGAUGGUGAAACCCCAUCUCUACUAAAAAUACAGAAAAAUAGGCCGGGCACAGUGGCUCACCCCUGUAAUCCCAGCACUUUGGGAGGCCAAGGCGGGCGGAUCACGAGGUCAAGAGAUUGAAAACAUCCUGGUCAACAUGGCAAAACCCUGUCUCUACUAAAAAUACAAAAAUUAGCUGGGCAUGGUGGCACACACCUGUAGUCCCAGCUACUCAGGAGGCUGAGGCAGGAGAAUCACCAGGAGGUGGAGGUUGUAGUGAGCCGAGAUUGUGCCACUGCACUCCAGCCCGGGCGACAGAGUGAGACUUUGUCUUAAAAAAAAAAAAAAUGAGUAGGAUUUGGGGGAGGAAUGGCAGAGAAAUGACCUGGUUAUCUAUUGCCAAAGCAAAAGCAAAGCAAGGAAAAAUUGUUUUAAAAAUACUUUAAAGAACAAGUGGAGGCCAGGUGUAGUGGCCCAUGCCUAUAAUCCCAGAACUUUGAGAGGCGGAGUCGGGUGGAUCACCUGAGUUCAGGAGUUCGAGACCAGCCUGACCAACAUGACCAACAUGGUGAAUCCCUGUCUGUACUAAAAAUACAAAAAUUAGCUGAGCAUGGUGGCUAACACCUGUAGUCCCAGCUGCUCGGGAGGCUGAGGCACAAGAAUUGCUCGAACUCAAGAGGCAGAGGUUUCAGUGAGCCUAGAUCAUGCCACUGCACUUCACCCUGGGCAACAGAGUGAGACUCGGUCUAAAAAAAAAAAAAGAAAGUGGAAUUUGAAAGUAAAAGCAUAAUACCAUUUAUAUUAGCAUGCCCCCAAAAAUUAAAUACUUAGGUAUAAAUCUAAUAAAUGUGUACAAGAUCUGUAAGAGGAAAACUUUGAAAACCUGAUGAAAGAAAUCAAAGAACAAUUAAACAAAUAUUGAGGUAUUUCAUGUUUUUGUUUAGGAAAACUCGAUAUUGUCAUGAUGUUCUUCCCAACUUCAUCUAUAGAUUCAAUGCAGUCCUUUUCAAAAUGUCAGGAGAUCAUUCUGUAGAUAUAAACAAACCGAUUCUAAAGUUUAUAUGGGCCAGGCGAAGUGGCUCACACCUAUAGUCCCAGCACUUUGGGAGGCCAAGGCGGGCAUAUCACCUGUCAGGAGUUUGAGACCAGCCUGGCCAACAUGACAUGGUAAACCCCUGUCUCUACUAAAAAUACAAAGAUCAGCUGGGUAUGGUUGUGGGCGCCUGUAAUCCCAGCUACUCAGGAGGCUGAGGCAGGAGAAUCCCUUGAGCCCAGGAGGGAGAGGUUGAAGUGAGCCGAGAUCGUGCCACUGCACUCCAGCCUGGGUGAUGGAGCAAGAUUCUGUCUCACCAAAAAAUAAUAAUAAAGUAUAUAUGGAGGAGGGAAAAGACCAAGAAUGAGCAACGCAAUAUUGAAGGAGAAUAACAAAGUUAGAGGAUGGCACUACCCAACUUCAAGACUUACUGGCCAGGCGUGGUGGCUCACACCUAUAAUCCCAGCACUUUGGGAGGCUGAGGCGGGUGGAUUACCUGAGGUCAGGAGUUCGAGACCAGCCUGACCAACAUGGUGAAACCCCGUCUCUACUACAAAUACAAAAAUUAGCCAGGCAUGGUGGUGGGCGCCUGUAAUCCCAGCUAUUCCUCAGGAGGCUGAGGCAUGAAAAUUGCUUGAACCUGGGUGGUGGAGGUUGCAGUGAGCCGAGAUCUCGCCAUUGAACUCUAGCCUGGGCAACAGAGUGAGACUCCAUCUCAAAAAAAAAAAAAAAAAGACUACUGUAAAGCUACAGUAAGUGGAUGCCUGUAAUCCCAGCUGCUCUGCAGGCUGAGGCAGAGAAUUGCUUGAACCCGGUAGGCGGAGGUUGCAGUGAGCUGAGAUCGCACCACUGCACUCCAGCCUGGACAACAGAGUGAGUCUCUGUCUCAAAAAAAAAAAAUUGUCACAUGUCUAAAUAUAAAAUGCAAUGCAAAAGCAUGAAAACACCUAAAAGAUAAGACAGAAUUAAAUCCAGAUGACCUAUGGCUUCGCGGUGACUUUUUAGGUACAACACCAAAGGCAUGGUACAUGAAAGAAAGAACCAAUAAGUUGGACUUCCUUAAAAUUGAAAAUUUGUGCUCUGCAAAAGACACUGUCAAGUGGAUAAAAAGAGAAGCCACAGAUUGGGAGAAAAUAUUUGUAAGACAUAUCCGAUACAAGACUAUUAUCUAAAAUAGACAAAAAAUUCUUUGAGAGGGAGUCUCGCUCUGUCCCCCAGGCUGGAGAGCAGUGGCGCGAUCUCGCCUCACUGCAAGCUCUGCAUCCCAGGUUCAUGUCAUUCUCCUGCCUCAGCCUUCCGAGUAGCUGGGACUACAGGCACCCACACCACGCCCGACUAAUUUUUUUGUAUUUUUAGUAGAGACGGGGUUUCACCGUGUUAGCCAGGAUGGUCUCAAUCUCCUGACCUUGUGAUUCACCCGCCUCAGCCUCCCAAAGUGCUGGGAUUACAGGCGUGAGCCAACGCCCCCGGCUGACAAAGAAUCUUAAAACUCAUCAAUAAGAAAACACCCGAUUAAAAAAUGUACCAGGCUGUGCCUGGUGGCUCACGCCUGUAACCCCAGUACUUUGGGAGUCCGAGGCUGGUAUAUCACUGGAGCCCAGGAGUUUGAGACUAGCCUGGCCAACAUGGUGAAACCCCGUCUCUACUAAAAAUACAAAAAUUAGCCAAGCAUGGUGGCAUGCCACUGUAGUCACAGCUACUCACUCUGGAGGCUGAGGUGGGAGGAUCACUUGAGCCUGGGAGGCGGAGGCUGCAGUGAGCUGAGAAUGCACCACUGCACUCCAGCCUGGGCAACAGUGAGACCACUAUCUCAAAAAAAAAAAAAAAAAAAAAAAAAAAAAAAAAAAAGACCAAACACCUUGAUAGACAUCACACCGAAGAAGAUAUUCAGAUGAGAAAUAAGCAUAUGAAAAGAUGCUUCUUGUGCAGGAUCUGGAUUUUUUCUAAGAAAGAAAAAAAGAUGCUUCGCAUCAUAUGUCAUCAGUGAAAUGCAAACACAAUAAUACCAUACCUCAAAAAAAACUAUGAUGAGGAUGAUAUGUUUUUUAAAGACAGAAUCUCCUUCUGUUGCCAAGGCUGAAGUGCAGUAGUAUGAUCAUAGCUCACUGCAGUCUCAACCUCCUGGCAGUCCUCCACCUCGGCCUUGCAAAGUAUUGAGAUUACAGGUAUGAGUCACAGUGCCCAUCCUACACACCUAUUAGAAUGACCAAAAUCCAGAACACUGGCAACACCAAAUGCUGGAGAGGAUGUGUAGCAACAGGAACUCAUUCGUUGCUAGUGGGAAUGUAAGAUGGAAGACUACUUUGUAAGGCAGUUUGGCAGUUUAUUAAAAAACGAAACAGGCCAGGCACAGUGGCUCACGCCUGUAAUCCCACCGAGAUCACACCAGUGCACUCCAGCCUGAGUGACAGAGACUCCGUCUCAAAAAAAUAAAAAUAAAAAUAAAAUAAAAUAAAAUAAAAAAUGAAACAUACUCUUACCCCAUGAUCUAGCAAUCACACUCCUUGGUAUUUAACAAGGAAGCUUUGGCAUUUACAAAAGAAGUUGAAAGUUUAUGUCCACACAAAAGCCCACGUAUGGAUUUUGUUUGUUUUUGUUGUUUUUUGGUUUUUUGUUUGUUUUGAGACAGGGUCUCACUCUGUCACCCAGACUGAAGUGCAAUGGUGCAAUUAUAGCUCAUUGCAGCCUCAAACUCCAGGACUCAGGUGGUUCUCCUACCUCAGCCUCCCGAGUAGCUAGGACUAUAGGCAUGUGCCACCACACCAGGCUGGUAACUUCUAUUAGAUAUCCUCUUGGAGCUAUUGAGUUUUAAGUUGUAUGAAUGCAUUGCAUUACAUUUCAAAUUUAAAAUACAAUUUUAAAAAUAAGAAUGUUAACUAGAUAAUUAUGUAACAACUUAAAAACUUUGCUUACCAGAAUUUUAUUAAAAUGUUAUUUGGCUUUCGAUCAUUUAAAAAAUUCUUCAUUUCUUAAAGAUUUAUCUAAUUUCUCUACCAAGCAUACACAGUAAUAAUAGCAACAAGAAAAUUACCAUCAGGGAGACAUAAAAGCAGUAUAAUGAAGCUAGUUUAGCAAGAAGGGGUGCAAAUAAGAAACGAAUACUCAGAGGAUCUCAGCUUUUUAUUUAAAAAAAUUGAAAGAUUUUGAACAUGCAUAUUAGAUUUUAUUAAUUAAAUAUGUUACAGGACCAUUCUGGAGAGAAUUAUAUAUCUCAUGGCGGGGAUUCCUGGGGAAUCUUUAAUGAGGGAUAAACUCCAAGGGCCAGAGAAGCUGUUCACCACACUUUUUUUCCUACCCUUUCCCCCAAGCAAUCCCCUACUCACAGAGGAACUGCCCUUAUUCAGGAGCUGAAAGAGGAUACCAGAGCUCCUCUCUGUUCUAGCUAGCCUAGGUCCCAAAGAAGACCCCCCAAAUACACCGUUUUUUCUUAAAAACAUCCUUCACACUUGGUCUGAUGAUUUUUACUUGUUAAAUGCAAUCCGUUGGCCGGGCACAGUGGCUCACACCUGUAAUCCUAACACUUUGGGAUGCUGAGGCAGGUGGAUCACCUGGGGUCAG
RNAcentral lists this long non-coding RNA (10980 nucleotides) under Homo sapiens (human). Its description in RNAcentral is "non-protein coding APTR:16". The stretch from base 7856 to 7972 matches the Rfam family "Metazoan signal recognition particle RNA". The record is from RNAcentral. Lineage: Eukaryota; Metazoa; Chordata; Mammalia; Primates; Hominidae.